CGGUUGUCCCGGUUUAAGCGUGUAGGUGUGUGUUCCAGGUAAAUCCGGUUCACUUUAACACUGAGGCGUGACGACGAGGCACUACGGUGCUGAAGCAACAAAUGCCCUGCUUCCAGGAAAAGCCUCUAAGCAUCAGGUAACAUCAAAUCGUACCCCAAACCGACACAGGUGGUCAGGUAGAGAAUACCAAGGCGCUUGAGAGAACUCGGGUGAAGGAACUAGGCAAAAUGGUGCCGUAACUUCGGGAGAAGGCACGCUGACACGUAGGUGAAGUGAUUUACUCACGGAGCUGAAGUCAGUCGAAGAUACCAGCUGGCUGCAACUGUUUAUUAAAAACACAGCACUGUGCAAACACGAAAGUGGACGUAUACGGUGUGACGCCUGCCCGGUGCCGGAAGGUUAAUUGAUGGGGUCAGCGCAAGCGAAGCUCCUGAUCGAAGCCCCGGUAAACGGCGGCCGUAACUAUAACGGUCCUAAGGUAGCGAAAUUCCUUGUCGGGUAAGUUCCGACCUGCACGAAUGGCGUAAUGAUGGCCAGGCUGUCUCCACCCGAGACUCAGUGAAAUUGAACUCGCUGUGAAGAUGCAGUGUACCCGCGGCAAGACGGAAAGACCCCGUGAACCUUUACUAUAGCUUGACACUGAACAUUGAGCCUUGAUGUGUAGGAUAGGUGGGAGGCUUUGAAGCGUGGACGCCAGUCUGCGUGGAGCCGACCUUGAAAUACCACCCUUUAAUGUUUGAUGUUCUAACGUGGACCCGUAAUCCGGGUUGCGGACAGUGUCUGGUGGGUAGUUUGACUGGGGCGGUCUCCUCCUAAAGAGUAACGGAGGAGCACGAAGGUUGGCUAAUCCUGGUCGGACAUCAGGAGGUUAGUGCAAUGGCAUAAGCCAGCUUGACUGCGAGCGUGACGGCGCGAGCAGGUGCGAAAGCAGGUCAUAGUGAUCCGGUGGUUCUGAAUGGAAGGGCCAUCGCUCAACGGAUAAAAGGUACUCCGGGGAUAACAGGCUGAUACCGCCCAAGAGUUCAUAUCGACGGCGGUGUUUGGCACCUCGAUGUCGGCUCAUCACAUCCUGGGGCUGAAGUAGGUCCCAAGGGUAUGGCUGUUCGCCAUUUAAAGUGGUACGCGAGCUGGGUUUAGAACGUCGUGAGACAGUUCGGUCCCUAUCUGCCGUGGGCGCUGGAGAACUGAGGGGGGCUGCUCCUAGUACGAGAGGACCGGAGUGGACGCAUCACUGGUGUUCGGGUUGUCAUGCCAAUGGCACUGCCCGGUAGCUAAAUGCGGAAGAGAUAAGUGCUGAAAGCAUCUAAGCACGAAACUUGCCCCGA
RNAcentral lists this ribosomal RNA (1325 nucleotides) under Salmonella enterica subsp. enterica serovar Paratyphi B var. L(+) tartrate +. Its description in RNAcentral is "partial 23S ribosomal RNA". It matches the Rfam family "Bacterial large subunit ribosomal RNA", at positions 1499 to 2802 of the family's 2925-position model. Lineage: Bacteria; Pseudomonadati; Pseudomonadota; Gammaproteobacteria; Enterobacterales; Enterobacteriaceae. The record is from RNAcentral.